GUGCCAGCAGCCGCGGUAAGACGAACCGAGCGAACGUUGUUCGGAAUCACUGGGCUUAAAGGGCGCGUAGGCGGGCGAUCAAGUCAGGGGUGAAAGCCCCCAGCUCAACUGGGGAAGUGCCUCUGAUACUGAUCGUCUCGAGGGGGAUAGGGGCGUGCGGAACUUCCGGUGGAGCGGUGAAAUGCGUAGAUAUCGGAAGGAACACCGGUGGCGAAAGCGGCGCGCUGGAUCCCUUCUGACGCUGAGGCGCGAAAGCCAGGGGAGCAAACGGGAUUAGAUACCCCCGUAGUCC
Molecule: ribosomal RNA, 292 nt
Filed under: uncultured bacterium
Lineage: Bacteria
Description: partial 16S ribosomal RNA
Rfam family: Bacterial small subunit ribosomal RNA
Source: RNAcentral